RNAcentral lists this long non-coding RNA (558 nucleotides) under Ananas comosus (pineapple). Its description in RNAcentral is "long non-coding RNA (ACOM_LNC011620)". The record is from RNAcentral. Lineage: Eukaryota; Viridiplantae; Streptophyta; Magnoliopsida; Poales; Bromeliaceae.
AGGUUUCAUUUCGGAUUGUGAAAAAAUUAUACUAUGUGCCUUAAAAAAGUAUGAUAGAAAAAUAUUUUAUUUGUUUAUGUAAUAUUAUAUUCUGCAUAUCGCGAUGAUUUAGUUAUGAUGUAUUUACUCCGGUUCCAUCGGAGAACGUAAAAGCAUAUCUCUAUAUGCUUUUAUCCCAAUUUCAUUUUAUCUAAUAGCGUCAUAUAGAUCUUAAUACUAAACUAAGCCUAAGGUUUCAUUUGGGAUUACGGAGAAAAAAAAAAGUACGAUGAGAAAAAUCAUGUUUGUUUUCAUAUGUAAUCCACAUAUUGCGAUGAGUCGGUAAUCCCGUUUGUUUCCAUAUGUAAUCAGCAUAUCGCAAUGAGUCGGUUAUAAUAUAUUUUCUGCGGUCUUACCGAAAAACGCAAAAGCAUAUAUAUAUCUAUAUGUUUUUAUCCUAACUUUAUUUUAUUUAAUAGCAUCAAAUUAGCCUCAAUACCAAACUAAGUCUAAAAGCUCUGGAGAGAGAAAAUAAAAAAAAAAAACAAACAUACGGUAAAGUUGAAAAGACUAAAAUUA